This 378-nucleotide ribosomal RNA is filed under the name uncultured bacterium. Its description in RNAcentral is "bacterial SSU rRNA". It matches the Rfam family "Bacterial small subunit ribosomal RNA", at positions 523 to 898 of the family's 1533-position model. The record is from RNAcentral.
AUACGUAGGGGGCGAGCGUUGUCCGGAAUUACUGGGUGUAAAGCGCGUGCAGGCGGUCGUGUAAGUGGUGCGUGAAAGCUCCCGGCUCAACCGGGAGAGGACGUGCCAAACUGCAGGGCUAGAGGCAGGUAGAGGCGUGUGGAAUUCCGGGUGUAGUGGUGAAAUGCGUAGAGAUCCGGAGGAACACCAGUGGCGAAGGCGACACGCUGGGCCUGGCCUGACGCUCAGACGCGAAAGCAUGGGGAGCGAACGGGAUUAGAAACCCCGGUAGUCCAUGCUGUAAACGAUGCUGACUAGGUGUUGCGGGUGAGAUACUCCGGCAGUGCCGAAGCUAACGUGGUAAGUCAGCCAUCUGGGGACUACGGCCGCAAGGUUAAA